Molecule: unclassified non-coding RNA, 335 nt
Filed under: soil metagenome
Description: partial contains 5.8S ribosomal RNA, internal transcribed spacer 2, and large subunit ribosomal RNA
Rfam family: 5.8S ribosomal RNA (bases 1-120)
Source: RNAcentral
GAUGAAGAACGCAGCGAAAUGCGAUAAGUAAUGUGAAUUGCAGAAUUCCGUGAAUCAUCGAAUCUUUGAACGCACAUUGCGCCCCCUGGUAUUCCGGGGGGCAUGCCUGUCCGAGCGUCAUUGCAACCCUCAAGCGCGGCUUGCGUGUUGGGCGCCGUCCCCCGUGGACGCGCCCGAAAGGCAGUGGCGGUACCGUGCUCCGGUGCCCGAGCGUAUGGGCUUAAAACCCGCUCUUGUGGCCCGGCCGGCGCCGGCCUCGACCCCCAACUUUACAAGGUUGACCUCGGAUCAGGUAGGGAUACCCGCUGAACUUAAGCAUAUCAAUAAGCGGAGGA